AGGAGCUCAGUGGUAGAGCGUUUGCUUAGCAAGCACAAGGCCCUGGGUUCGGUCCCCAGCU
RNAcentral lists this transfer RNA (61 nucleotides) under Rattus norvegicus (Norway rat). It matches the Rfam family "tRNA", at positions 6 to 65 of the family's 71-position model. From Rfam's summary of the family: Transfer RNA (tRNA) molecules are approximately 80 nucleotides in length. The record is from Rfam by way of RNAcentral. Lineage: Eukaryota; Metazoa; Chordata; Mammalia; Rodentia; Muridae.